CCUACGGGUGGCAGCAGUGAGGAAUAUUGGUCAAUGGGCGGAAGCCUGAACCAGCCAAGUAGCGUGCAGGAUGACGGCCCUACGGGUUGUAAACUGCUUUUAUACGGGAAUAACGCGCCUUACUUAUAGGUCUUUGCAUGUACCGUAUGAAUAAGGACCGGCUAAUUCCGUGCCAGCAGCCGCGGUAAUACGGAAGGUCCGGGCGUUACCCGGAUUUAUUGGGCUUAAAGUGAGCGUAGGCGGCAUGUCAAGCGUGCUGUGAAAUGUCCGGGCUCAACCCGGGCCUUGCAGCGCAAACUGGCGUGCUUGAGUCCGCGGAAGGCAGGCAGAAUUCGUCGUGUAGCGGUGAAAUGCUUAGAUAUGACGAAGAACCCCGAUUGCGAAGGCAGCUUGCUGCAGCAGGACUGACGCUGAUGCGCGAAAGCGCGGGUAUCGAACAGGAUUAGAUACCCCAGUAGUC
Molecule: ribosomal RNA, 460 nt
Filed under: uncultured bacterium
Lineage: Bacteria
Description: partial 16S ribosomal RNA
Rfam family: Bacterial small subunit ribosomal RNA
Source: RNAcentral